This 283-nucleotide long non-coding RNA is filed under the name Mytilus galloprovincialis (Mediterranean mussel). Lineage: Eukaryota; Metazoa; Mollusca; Bivalvia; Mytilida; Mytilidae. The record is from RNAcentral.
CCGGAUGAAUAUUGUGAAGGACCUUAUGCAUCUAGGUCUGUCCGAUUAGAAGUUCUGAAACAAGCUGUUUGAAAAGCUAAUUGUUGGAAGAGUUUACUUACUGUUUUAUAAGGUCCGAUCUUUACGAAUCUAUUUCAUGAUUACUGACAGAUCAAAAACAUCAAGUAUAUAUAGCAUGAAUUUGUGGGGCAUACUAUGAUUCAUUGGUCAGUUAUAAAUGAGGUCUGUAUGGGGUUUUGAUUGCGUGAUUUAUUAAAUAAGAAAUCGUUAUUUUGAAAAGUUG